This 336-nucleotide long non-coding RNA is filed under the name Elaeis guineensis (African oil palm). RNAcentral describes it as "long non-coding RNA (EGUI_LNC036847)". Lineage: Eukaryota; Viridiplantae; Streptophyta; Magnoliopsida; Arecales; Arecaceae. The record is from RNAcentral.
CUUGAGAUGCUCUGCUGCACGCUCUCCCAAUUUCCCUGAGAUGCACUUUCGAUCUCCCUGAGAUGCCCGCUGCGUGCUCUCUAUCUCCCUGAGAUGCAUUGAGAUCCUCGAUCUCCCUGAGACACCCUCGUCUCCCUGAGAACCACUCUCGAUCUCUCUAAAAUGCACUUAAUCUCCCUGAGAUGCUUUGCUACACACUCUCUGUCUCCCUGAGAUGCUCUUGAUCUCUCUGAGAUCCUCUAUUGCGUGCUCUCUGUCUCUCUAAAAUGCCCUCGGUCUCCUUGAGACACCCUCGAUCUUCUUGACACUCCAAAUCGAAAUCACAACCUUGAUUGA